RNAcentral lists this ribosomal RNA (301 nucleotides) under uncultured bacterium. RNAcentral's name for it is "partial 16S ribosomal RNA". It matches the Rfam family "Bacterial small subunit ribosomal RNA", at positions 509 to 807 of the family's 1533-position model. The record is from RNAcentral.
CAGCAGCCGCGGUAGUACGUAGGGUGCAAGCGUUAAUCGGAAUUACUGGGCGUAAAGCGUGCGCAGGCGGUUCUAUAAGACAGAUGUGAAAUCCCCGGGCUCAACCUGGGAACUGCAUUUGUGACUGUAGAGCUGGAGUGCGGCAGAGGGGGAUGGAAUUCCGCGUGUAGCAGUGAAAUGCGUAGAUAUGCGGAGGAACACCGAUGGCGAAGGCAAUCCCCUGGGCCUGCACUGACGCUCAUGCACGAAAGCGUGGGGAGCAAACAGGAUUAGAUACCCCAGUAGUCCCUGUCUCUUAUAC